GAUGAACGCUGGCGGCGUGCCUAAUACAUGCAAGUCGAGCGAACAGACGAGGAGCUUGCUCCUCUGACGUUAGCGGCGGACGGGUGAGUAACACGUGGAUAACCUACCUAUAAGACUGGGAUAACUUCGGGAAACCGGAGCUAAUACCGGAUAAUAUAUUGAACCGCAUGGUUCAAUAGUGAAAUACGGUUUUGCUGUCACUUAUAGAUGGAUCCGCGCCGCAUUAGCUAGUUGGUAAUGUAACGGCUUACCAAGGCAACGAUGCGUAGCCGACCUGAGAGGGUGAGCGGCCACACUGGAAGUGAGACACGGUACAGACACCUACGGGAGGCAGCAGUAGGGAAUAUUACGCAAUGGGCGAAAGCAUGACGGAGCAACGCCGCGUGAGUGAUGAAGGUCUUCGGAUCGUAAAACUCUGUUAUUAGGGAAGAACAAAUGUGUAAGUAACUAUGCACGUAUUGACGGUACCUAAUAAGAAAGCAACGGCUAACUACGUG
Molecule: ribosomal RNA, 497 nt
Filed under: uncultured bacterium
Lineage: Bacteria
Description: partial 16S ribosomal RNA
Rfam family: Bacterial small subunit ribosomal RNA
Source: RNAcentral